UUCCACAAUCUGUCAGCUGAGUGUAGCUCUCCUCUCUGGGUAGAGGAGCAGCCGGAUUGUGGAGGGUGGGAGCCAAGUCUGUGGGAAGGUCUGUCUUUCCUGAGGCUUGUGAGUCUGAGCUUGGAAAGAAUCACAAGCAUGAAAGAGGCUCUGCCGAAUGGAGACCACUGAAAUUCAAGUUCAGCAGCCCCUGAAAAGUCAAGAGGAGGGAAAUACAUGCCUCCAGCCAUACCUGAAAGGGUGAAGCUGGUAAAGGAACUCUCAUAAAAUGUGUGAAGGACCAGAGAAGUUGGGAAGAGAGAGAAUAUGUUGAAUGAGAGGGUCAGGAUCCUAGAAGAUGCCAGAAGCUUGGAAUUCUGGAACAAAUAUAAGGAGAAGAUGUUUUAAAAGCUAAAGUUAUAUCCUUGGAUUCACAAAGCAGCUGAACAAACAGAGUCAGGGAAUCAAGGCUGCACAAGUCACAAUGAGAACCCUAUAGGGGAAGCGUGUCUAAAUGGAUAAAAGCUCAUACAAGAAACAAUGACACAAUCUUGAGCUGUAUUGGGAGAAGAUGAAGGUCCUAAUCUGCUAUCCUGCUUGGAUCACACAAUGCUUGAAAAGCAUUCAGUUUUAGAGGGGAUCACGAUUUAAGAAAGUCAUAGUUACCAAAUAUAGACUCUGGAGCUAGACUGUCCUGGUUCAUGUUCUGGCCCAGUCUCCUGCUGGCUGUGCAACUUUGGGCAAAGUACUUAACCUCUCUGUACGUUGGUUGCUUCAUCUGUAAUGACAACGCCAUGACUUGCUAUAAAGUAAAAAUGAGUUAAUGUA
This is a long non-coding RNA of Herpailurus yagouaroundi (jaguarundi), 807 nucleotides long. RefSeq lists it as uncharacterized. Lineage: Eukaryota; Metazoa; Chordata; Mammalia; Carnivora; Felidae. The transcript has 2 exons. The record is from RefSeq and is a predicted model, not a curated record.